Long non-coding RNA from Hippopotamus amphibius kiboko, 520 nucleotides. RefSeq lists it as uncharacterized. The record is from RefSeq and is a predicted model, not a curated record. NCBI's taxonomy places the organism in Eukaryota, Metazoa, Chordata, Mammalia, Artiodactyla, Hippopotamidae. The transcript has 4 exons.
CUAACGAUUAUUCAUGUAUAAUUUGUUUUCUCCUCUCCUUCACUUCUUCCUGGAUUUCCACAUUUAGGCCUGAUGGUGACAAAGGUAUUAAGAAAGUUAGUUCUCAGAAAGUUGAAGGCCAAUGACGACUCUGGAGGCCACACAAUUCCCUUUAAACUCAGUUAUCUCACAACUGAAUGCUCUGAUAACCUGCGGAGACCAGCAGACACAGUGUGAUUAGUGAGCCAGAAAAGGAGGAAACCCCAGAGCAGCCAUCAGCCGUCUUCAUUUCUCUGCAAUCAGCCCCUUCGAAUCCCUGAUAACAGUGACAGGAGAAUCUCUCCGCCAGCACUGCUAGAUCCCAAGUUGAUGGGUGUGAAAAGAGAGGAACAGACUCCAAUUUAGAAAUCAUGUCAGAGUUGCUGUCCUCUGGCCACCUUUCAGUUUCCUGACCAGGGAAUGAACCUGCGCCCUCUGCAAUGGAAGUGUGGCGUCUUAACCACUGGACCACCAGGGAAGUCCCAUACCUGACACUUUUAUA